This 497-nucleotide ribosomal RNA is filed under the name uncultured bacterium. RNAcentral's name for it is "partial 16S ribosomal RNA". It matches the Rfam family "Bacterial small subunit ribosomal RNA", at positions 28 to 507 of the family's 1533-position model. The record is from RNAcentral.
GAUGAACGCUGGCGGCGUGCCUAAUACAUGCAAGUCGAGCGAACAGACGAGGAGUUUGCUUCUCUGACGUUAGCGGCGGACGGGUGAGUAACACGUGGAUAACCGACCUAUAAGACUGGGAUAACUUCGGGAAACCGGAUCUAAUAUCGGAUAAUAUAUUGAACCGCAUGGUUCAAUAGUGAAAGACGGUUUUGCUGUCACUUAUAGAUGGAUCCAGGCCGCAUUAGCUAGUUGGUAAGGUAACGGCUUACCAAGGCAACGAUGCGUAGCCGACCUGAGAGGGUGAUCAGCCACACUGGAACUGAGACACGGUCCAGACUCCUACGGGAGGCAGCAGUAGGGAAUCUUCCGCAAUGGGCGAAAGCCUGACGGAGCAACGCCGCGUGAGUGAUGAAGGUCUUCGGAUCGUAAAACUCUGUUAUUAGGGAAGAACAAAUGUGUAAGUAACUAUGCACGUCUUGACGGUACCUAAUCAGAAAGCCACGGCUAACUACGUG